Hypanus sabinus (Atlantic stingray) is the source of this 7294-nucleotide long non-coding RNA. RefSeq lists it as uncharacterized. Lineage: Eukaryota; Metazoa; Chordata; Chondrichthyes; Myliobatiformes; Dasyatidae. The transcript has 5 exons. The record is from RefSeq and is a predicted model, not a curated record.
AGUAACAAUCAUUUUGACCUCAAUAAUCAACACUGGAAUAUUAUGAUCCCCACAAAUCCCAUUUUCUAAAUCAUAUCCCAAACAAUUCCAAGUUUGAUAUCCCUUCAUAUAACCUCCAAUAAAUCACCUACUUCCUCACCACGGCCUUUGCCCUUUUAUUGUUAAUAAUGUAACUCGGAGACUGAUGCACCAUCACAUAAAAACUCACAUUUCUCCCAAUUUGCUUCCUGUCCCGUUAUAAAUCCAAAUCCAAACUCAUAAAGACUGGAAGGCUGACUGACGUUCACAUAAACUAAUCACCUUCCGAGUUCCCAUUUGAGCGACAGGCACUGCAGCCAAUGACAGCAGGGGUCAGUGUUACGUCUGAGCUACGAUAGGCUGGAGGAAAUCGGCCCAUGACCAGCCCCUCCUCUUCCGCUCCAUCGCCAUGGCGGAGAUCAGCGAGUCGCUUCUGUCGGUGUCGCCGGCCUCGGCGCCCACAAGGACGGUUGUGAUUCCCCUUUGCGCCUCGGUGGGUCUGUUUCGGGGACGUCUGUGGUGGCUGACGAAACAUGCUUUGACAGGGAGCGAGCGAGGGACAAUGACUACAACUCCCAGAAGGCCCCACUGAUGACGUUGUGGUGUUGUUCAGGGCUUUCCCACCACAGAUGUAAGGCUCAAUGGUCUAUAAUUAUCGGGACUAUCCCUACUACCCUUUUUGAACAAGGGGACAACAUUCGCCUCCCUCCAAUACUCCGGUACAAUUUCCGUGGACAAUGAGGACAUAAUGAUCUUCGCCAGAGGCUCAGCAAUCUAUUUCCUUUCCUUGGAUGCAGAACUGGGAAGCGCAGAUGGAGUUCAACACAGAUGAAGAGGUUCAUUUCUGCAGGUCAAAUUUGAACAAAGAAUAUAAUAUUAAUGUGAUCUUACUCCUGACGCCAGUCCCAGGACCCAACCCAUUUACAGACCUGGAGCGGAACCGGAGCAGAUCCUCAGCCACUGGUUUUCAUCCCCAGUCGCAAACUUUCCCACCACAGAUGGAAGGCUCAAUGGUCUAUAAUUAUCGGGACUAUCCCUACUACCCUUUUUGUACAAGGGGACAACAUUUGCCUCCCUCCAGUCCUCCGGUACCAUUCCCGUGGACAAUAAGGACAUAAUGAUCCUAGCCAGAGGCUCAGCAAUCUAUCUCCUCGCCUCGGAUGCAGAACCGGAAAGUGGCAGAGGGAGUUCAACACAGCUGAAGAAGUUCAUUUCUGCAGGUCAAAUUUGAACACAGAAUAUAAUAUUAAUGGGACAUUACUCCUGACAUUGGUCCCAAGACCCAGCCUGUUUACAGAACCGGAGCGGAACUGGAGCAGAUUCUUUGACACUUGUUUUCAUCGCAAAUCCAGAAGACAGUUUAACGUUUUUUCGUGAAUUUAUUCUGAGUGAAGGUGUGGAGAUGGGAGUUGGUCUCCGCGUUGUAAAAUGAAUCUGUCCCGGACUCGUAACUGAGAUAAAUUCCCACCCUCCCGGGGUUGGGACAGGCAGCGAGUCGGGGUUCAGGGGAGGUGGCAACACUGAACAAAUCAUAAUUCAAGUCCGAUAACCCCUGUCCGAUGACCCAGAUCAGCCAGAUAGUGGCGUCUGUGUCCACAGGACACUCGAAGCUGCUGCGUCGGUUGAGAGUGUUGUUAAGAAGCCGUAUGGCGUACUGGGCUUCAUCAACUGUGGGAUUGAUUUCAAGAGCUGUGAGGUAAUGUUACAGAGGAACAACGCCUUAGUUAGACCACACCUGGAGUACUGUGUCCAAUUCUGGUUACCUCACUACGGGAAGGAUGUGGAUACUAUACAGCGAGUGCAGAGGAGAUUUACAAGGGUGUUGCCUGGAUUAAAGAGCAUGCCUUAUGAAAACAGGCAGAGUGAACUUGGCCUUUACUCCUUGGAGUGCCGGAGGGUGAGGGAUGACCUGAUACACGUGUAUAAAAUGAUAAGAGGCACUGAUCGUGUGGAUUGCCAGAGGCUAUUUCCCAGGGAUGAAAUGGCUAACACGUGGGGGCACAGUUUUAAGGUGCUUGGAAGUAGGUACAGAGGGGGUUUCAGAGGUAAGUGUUUCACACAGAAAGUGGUGGUGCAUGGAAUGCAUGGCGAAGGUGGCAGAGGUGGAUAGAACAGGGCCUUUUAAGAGACUCUUAGUUAGGUACAUGGAGCUUAGAAAAAUAGAGGGCUAUGCGGUAGGGAAGUUCUUGACAGUUUCUAGAGUAUGUGACAUGGUCAGCACAUCAUUGAGGGCCGAAAGGCCUGUAAUGUGGUGUAGAAAUUUUGUUCACUGCCAACGGCGAGAUACCGAACAGUGUUGCAGAGAGACAGUUCUUGGGAUGCAAGUUCACAGCUCGUUGGAUGUGGCGAAACAGGUCGAUUAGGUGGUGAAGGAGGCUUAUAGAAUACCGGCUUUUAUUCGUGAAGCGCUGAGUUCAAAAUCCAGGAGGUUAUAUUGUAAUUUAUAACACUCUGGUCAAACCAUGUCCGGAGUAUUUAUCUGAGGCUUCUGUGGUGCAUAUCUGGACAGUUCGGACGCAACAUCCAUGGUCGACCCUCUCCGACGGAGGCCUCACAAACUCACACUGAGAAAUAUACAAAUAACCAAUGUCCCAGCAUCCGACCCUGCGGUACAGCACUUGUUCCAAAUUUCCCUCAGAACAGAGAUGAGGAGGAAUUUAUUCAGAGUGGGGUGGUGAAUGUGAGGCAUUAAUUGCCCUAAUUCCUGCUGUCGGUAGUUGCCGGCCUCUGCGUCCAGAACGACAGGCGUGGUUCUCCUCCGACAUCACGGUGAAUCUGUUCCAACAGAUGUUUGUGAUGGCUGAGGAAUAGUGUUGACGCAGGGAGCGAGUGAGAAGCUGAGACAUUAGGACUACAACACCCAGUAGGCUCCGCGGCCCCGUAUGUUCGGCAGCUGAAGCUGACUGAAGCUGUAGUUCCUAUGAAAAGAGAGCGUUUGUGACUAUUCUUCAUUGAACAAUUUGUGUCAUUUGUCACUCUUUACGUAACCCGACAAUUACAUCGUGACAAUGGGGCCUGUGGUGACGGAGGGGAGAAUCGGUGGUGCAUCACGCUCAGUUUUGGGGUCAGUGCACAGUCACAAUCGAGUCUCCUUUUGACACCCGUUCUCCACGGCCGGCAACAAAAGUCGUGAAUCUUCACUGCGAAUUCCAGGUUAAUCCCGUCCUUUCCGAGGCGGCCGGCCAGAGUUGCACAGUUCUCCAGCCGUGGUCUCACCAACAUAGAACAAUGACAGCAGGGGAACAGGCCCUUCUGCUCACUGUGUUGUUCUGGACCAAUUGAACUGGUCACUUUAUGUCUCAGUAAACCAGUCCCCUCUGCCUACACAGGGUCCACUUCCCUCCAUUCUCCAACCAUUCACGUGGUAUCUAAAAGCCUCUAUCACAUCUGCCUCCACCACCACCCCCGGAAUUCCUUCCAGACACCAUCACUAUGAGUCCGAAAACACAGUUGCAACACACAUCGACUUUAAACAUUCAGAGGCACGUUUAACAUUACAGUCUAAUAUAAGGUGUUUGUAUUACAGCAGCAGUGUCAUGAAAAGAGAGAAAAAUGCACUAAAUUACAAAAUACACAAACAUCGCAAAAAGGACCCGUGAAGUACUGUUCCCCGUUUCUGCUGAAGUGCGUUUCGUCUGCGAGUAGACAUUUCCUACUUCGAAACACAAUACCGGGCGGCCAGUGUGUCUGUGCUUCUCAGGUACCUAUAAACUUCUGUAGGGCUUCCCACAGCCUCUCCCGAACAGAGCAAAUUCCCCUGGAUUGUCUAGUCUUAUUUUAUCCAGGCAGCAUCUUGUUAUCGUGUUCUAAUUACCAUCCAAAUCUUCUGCAUUAUUCCAGUAUUAAAAUGCAACAUAACUGCCUGACACUGGAACCACUAUCUGGGAGAUAUGAACUCGUAUUCCCUCUGUAGAUUAGCCCAUGAAUACAGAAGCAAAGGGAUAGCGUUGAGCCUUUAUCAGUCACUAUUCAUGCUGUACUUGGAGUAUCGUCAACAUUUUUGUGCCCCGUAUCUCAGAAAGGAAGUGUUGUCCUCGGAGAGAGUUCAGAGGAAUUUCACCAGGAUGAUUCCGGGAAUUAACGGGUUAACAUACGAGAAGCAUUUGACAGCAUUGCGCCUGUACUGACUGGAAUUCAGAAGAACGCGGGGCGAUCUCAUUGAAACCUACCGAGUGUUGAAUGAACAGAUCGGGUUGAUGUGGAGGGGAUGUUUCCUCUGGUGAGCGUAUCCAGCACUAGAGGGCGCAGUCUCAAAAUUGAGGCGCAACCUUUCAGUACUUUCCUUGUUUUUACUGACUCUGUCUCAGGAGACAGCUUAUCCACUGAUGUCUACUGCAAACCCACGGACUCUCAAAGCUGCCAGGAUUAUAACUAUUCGAAUCCUGUUAUCUGUAAAAUCGCGAUGCAUUUCUCUCAGUUCCACAGUCUCCAGCACAUCUGAUGUCAGGAUGAGACUUUUCAUUCUGGAGCGAAGGAGAUGGCCUCCUUUUUCAAGAAAGAGUCUCCCCUUCCUCCACCAUCAACGCUGCCCUCAACCGCAUCUCUUCCAUAUCGUGCACGUCCGCUCUUACCCCAUCCUCCCGCCACCCUAACCGGGAUAGGUUUCACCACCCCAACAGCCUUCGCCACCAGCACAUACAUUUUGGAUUGGACAGUUUAAUAAUGUUUAAGGAUGUUGUCAUGUUUGAGAAUUUGUUAGCUCAUCAGGAUAUUAAGGAAAGUUAUUAUGAUAUGUGGACCAUUCAUCAUUAACCAUGUUAAUCAUUUUAACCUUUUUUGCAGAAGGAUCGAAAGAUGAUUUAACUGGGAAUGUUGGUGGAGUAAUUGCAGUAAAGGAUAGGGAAAUGACUUACCUACCAUUUAUAAAAACAUACGGCAAAUUGGUUUCCAUCUGUUUUCGGCUUAGAGUGGGUGAAAGAAAUUUGCCCAGAUAAAUUUGUAAUUUGUUCAGAUUCCUUUUCGGUUUUGAUGUGUCUUAAAACAUGUGACUUCAGUAAUAGAUCAGAAUUACUGUUGGAAACUCAUCAAUCAUUAUUUCCUAUUCAAAGUGCAAACACGGGGAAAUCUGCAGAUGCUGGAAAUUCAAGUAACACACUCAAAAUGCUGGUGGAACACAGCAGGCCAGGCAGCAUCUAUAGGGAGAAGCACUGCCGACAUUUCAGGCCGGGACCCUUCGUCAGGACUAAUUGAAUGUGAAGUUAGCCUUUCAGUUUAGAGAGGUAUUAGAGGCGUUUAGGGGAAUGAGCGGGUUGACUGUUUACUUACCAAAGCUGUUAAAAGUUUAACUGUUGUUAAAGAGCUUCCACCUAGGAAAUCAGCAGGUAAGGGUUUUUUAGUGUUAAUAAUUGUGGGCUUAUGGCAAGACUGGUGGGAUAAUGGUCACAAGGGGAGAUGCCAUUACAGAAUACAUAGAAGUUUGGAUUUAUGGGAGAUGGGAAUCGUCUUCCAAUUGACAAUACUAUUCCUCAUGUCGUGUUGGUAAACAUCACUCUGGGCCGUGAACGUUUUGUCAUAAUGAAACAGUUGAACACAUUUUAAUUCAGUGAAAAGAGUAUCAGAAAGAAAAAUCAAAUGGAGGCUUCAUUACAAUCCUCGGGGGUUGUUAGAUUUUAUUUAAAAACUUUCUGAAGUAAUGGGAGUGACUUUAAUUUAAUUCACAAUGUUCUGUUUCAUUCCGUACGAUCUCUGGGACUUUGGGGUAAUUUACCUUUAAAAUGGAAAAACAAUGGAAGCGGCCAGGGUUUUAUUUCCCAAUUCUCCGCACCACAAUCCAGUCCAAUUGGUGGCGGGAUCAACGCCUUGAAGUGGGAAUGUCGACCAUCGUUUAGGCAAAUCCCGCCCUUUUCCUUCACGUUGGCCAAUCAUUCAAGGGACAGCGGAGACUGCUGUGAUAAUAUUGGAAUAGCCAACUAGCAUCGUAUUAUACGCCGCCGACAAGGUGCAACGUCGGACAGUGAGGAUGGUAGAAGGGAAUGGGAAUAGAUGCAAAUAUCUACUGACCAAUGGGUUUGCGCCUUCUGGAGCAGUUCUCCGACUGAUAUCUUCCCGGUCCAAUGAGAUACUGAUCCUCCGGGACGGUGCUUUGCCCCAUCCCACACACAAGCUAUGCUAAUAUCCCACAGCUGCCGGACGAUGGGUUAAUCGGCCUGGGAAUAACACCUGGGAAAUCAGGUGGUGAACGUGAGGGGCUGGACACGGACUGGAAACACUGCGGCCGUUUCCGGUUUGUACUCAGGACGCCGCUUUAUUGAGGAACUGAAGCACCGAGGUGACGGGAUAUUUCACCGCGCUGAUCACCUGUGCCCUGAAUUUUGACUGAGUCACCGCGUAAAUAAAUGUGUUCGUGCAGCAGCUGAAAUUCCUCAGCAAAACACCGGCGUAGGUAAAGAUCCAUUCAGAGUCAUUGAAAUUGUAUCCUUUUCCUGAGACAUGAUAAUAUAUGAAAUUUACAACCAGUGUCAUCCACAGAAGGAUGAAGCUGCCGGAGAGAGUGAAGAGUAAAACCACAGACCUCCUCCUGCUCUCCAUCUCCGGGUCACUUCGGUUCUCCCCCUUGCUCUGACCCUUCAGCCCCUUACGGACCCGACUGGCCACUAAAAUGUGUCUGACUGUCAGAGCGUUGAGCAGCAGUAUCCCACCGAAAGGGAGGAAUGGAGUUGAAACCGUAUCGAGCCAGUCAUAUCCAACCCACCCGGGGUCAGUGAAAUAUUUGUCCAUGAUCAUACAGAACCACGGUACAUUGUCGAUGAUCACUGCGGGUUCCAGUGUGAAGUAUCGGGGAACGUUUCUCAGACAGGUCAGUACGCCGGUUGUUGUUAGAACCACAGCCGCAGUUUUCCCGGUGCAAUAUUUUGUUUUCAGCUUUUGGCAGCAAAUGGCGAUAAACCGAUCAACGGUGAAAGUGACGGUGAACCAGACUGAACAUUGUGUGGCUGUGAACUUCAAUACAAUGAUAACACUGCACACAGGGGUGAUGCUCAGAAAACUCCACCGGAAGUAAUACCAACUGAUUCGAUACAAAAUAACCUCGGUGAUAAUGGACAGUAGAUCGGCCGCUGUCAUGGCCACCAGGUAGCGAGUGGUGCAGGUAGAGAGGCCGCACUUUCCCCGGGACAGGAUCACAAUCGCCAAUAAAUUCACUAGAGAGAGAGAGGGAGAGAGAGAGAGAGAGAGAGAGAGAGGGAGAGAGAGAGAGAGAGAGAGAGAGGGAGAGAGAGAGAGAGAGAGAGAGAGAGAGAGAGAGAGAGACAGAGAGAGAGAGAGAGAGAACAGACAC